GUGCAGACCUUUCCAGCGAGGCUCAGCCCAACGUGGCUCUGACCUUUCCUGUUGUGUCUGCUAGAGAGAUGUGGGGCUGUUUGAGGCCCUGCUGUGGCUCUUCACGGCAGGGUUAUAGGAAAACCUCCGACAUUA
Small nucleolar RNA from Mugil cephalus (flathead mullet), 135 nucleotides. RefSeq annotates it as small nucleolar RNA SNORA9. The transcript has a single exon. NCBI's taxonomy places the organism in Eukaryota, Metazoa, Chordata, Actinopteri, Mugiliformes, Mugilidae. The record is from RefSeq and is a predicted model, not a curated record.